This 468-nucleotide ribosomal RNA is filed under the name uncultured bacterium. Its description in RNAcentral is "partial 16S ribosomal RNA". It matches the Rfam family "Bacterial small subunit ribosomal RNA", at positions 28 to 507 of the family's 1533-position model. The record is from RNAcentral.
GACGAACGCUGGCGGCGUGCUUAACACAUGCAAGUCGAACGGAAAGGCCCUGCUUUUGUGGGGUGCUCGAGUGGCGAACGGGUGAGUAACACGUGAGUAACCUGCCCUUGACUUUGGGAUAACUUCAGGAAACUGGGGCUAAUACCGGAUAGGAGCUCCUGCUGCAUGGUGGGGGUUGGAAAGUUUCGGCGGUUGGGGAUGGACUCGCGGCUUAUCAGCUUGUUGGUAGGGUAGUGGCUUACCAAGGCUUUGACGGGUAGCCGGCCUAAGAGGGUGACCGGCCACAUUGGGACUGAGAUACGGCCCAGACUCCUACGGGAGGCAGCAGUGGGGAAUAUUGCACAAUGGGCGGAAGCCUGAUGCAGCAACGCCGCGUGCGGGAUGACGGCCUUCGGGUUGUAAACCGCUUUCGCCUGUGACGAAGCGUGAGUGACGGUAAUGGGUAAAGAAGCACCGGCUAACUACGUG